This 570-nucleotide ribosomal RNA is filed under the name uncultured bacterium. RNAcentral describes it as "partial 16S ribosomal RNA". It matches the Rfam family "Bacterial small subunit ribosomal RNA", at positions 355 to 938 of the family's 1533-position model. The record is from RNAcentral.
UGGGGAAUAUUGCACAAUGGGCGGAAGCCUGAUGCAGCAACGCCGCGUGCGGGAUGACGGCCUUCGGGUUGUAAACCGCUUUCGCCUGUGACGAAGCGUGAGUGACGGUAAUGGGUAAAGAAGCACCGGCUAACUACGUGCCAGCAGCCGCGGUGAUACGUAGGGUGCGAGCGUUGUCCGGAUUUAUUGGGCGUAAAGGGCUCGUAGGUGGUUGAUCGCGUCGGAAGUGUAAUCUUGGGACUUAACCCUGAGCGUGCUUUCGAUACGGGUUGACUUGAGGAAGGUAGGGGAGAAUGGAAUUCCUGGUGGAGCGGUGGAAUGCGCAGAUAUCAGGAGGAACACCAGUGGCGAAGGCGGUUCUCUGGGCCUUUCCUGACGCUGAGGAGCGAAAGCGUGGGGAGCGAACAGGCUUAGAUACCCUGGUAGUCCACGCUGUUAACGGUGGGUACUAGGUGUGGGGUCCAUUCCACGGGUUCCGUGCCGUAGCUAACGCUUUAAGUACCCCGCCUGGGGAGUACGGCCGCAAGGCUAAAAACUCAAAGGAAUUGACGGGGGUCAUAGCUGUUUCCU